GGUUUAUUUGAUCAUGGCUCAGAUUGACCCGCGUGGCUUGCAGGCCUAACACAUGCAAGUCGAGCGGAUGACGGGAGCUUGCUCCUUGAUUCAGCGGCGGACGGGUGAGUAAUGCCUAGGAAUCUGCCUGGUAGUGGGGGACAACGUUUCGAAAGGAACGCUAAUACCGCAUACGUCCUACGGGAGAAAGCAGGGGGACCUUCGGGCCUUGCGCUAUCAGAUGGGCCUAGGUCGGAUUAGCUAGUUGGUGAGGUAAUGGCUCACCAAGGCGACGAUCCGUAACUGGUCUGAGAGGAUGAUCAGUCACACUGGAACUGAGACACGGUCCAGACUCCUACGGGAGGCAGCAGUGGGGAAUAUUGGACAAUGGGCGAAAGCCUGAUCCAGCCAUGCCGCGUGUGUGAAGAAGGUCUUCGGAUUGUAAAGCACUUUAAGUUGGGAGGAAGGGCAGUAAGUUAAUACCUUGCUGUUUUUGACGUUACCGACAGAAUAAGCACCGGGCUAACUCUGUGCCAGCAGCCGCGGUAAUACAGAGGGUGCAAGCGUUAAUCGGGAAUUACUGGGCGUUAAAGACGCCGACGUAG
RNAcentral lists this ribosomal RNA (584 nucleotides) under uncultured bacterium. Its description in RNAcentral is "bacterial SSU rRNA". It matches the Rfam family "Bacterial small subunit ribosomal RNA", at positions 1 to 578 of the family's 1533-position model. The record is from RNAcentral.